GGGGCCGUAACGGUUUCGACAGGUUGGCGAAAGCUUUUCUGUGAUUCAGGACGAGAGUGAGUCUUCUCUCGAUAAUACCGGGCUCAAACAAAAAGUAACUGCGAACAACAUUGUUCCUUUCGCUCGUAAGUCUGCUCUUGUAGCUGCUUAAUAGUCCUUAACAAAGACCGAGCACUUGUAGUCUGACUCCGUUAAGGGCUACGGGUAAACCCCAACGGAUGCUCCCUUUAGCUGCGUCUGGUCGGCUAUUGGGCUAAGAGUUACCAGAAAUUCCUUGGUCAUUCAGGAUAAGUAAUGAUCCCCGCUCUGAGGGUUAAAAGAGCUAAGCCUGUGAAUGAGCGGACGGUUAAUACCCAGUCUGGACAGCAGUUCGACUCUGCUCGGCUCCAUGA
This is a non-coding RNA of Cyanothece sp., 392 nucleotides long. It matches the Rfam family "transfer-messenger RNA". Rfam says of the family: Bacterial tmRNA, also known as 10Sa RNA or SsrA, is named for its dual tRNA and mRNA-like properties. Its role is to liberate the mRNA from a stalled ribosome. NCBI's taxonomy places the organism in Bacteria, Bacillati, Cyanobacteriota, Cyanophyceae, Gomontiellales, Cyanothecaceae. The record is from Rfam.